GGAUAGAGGCGCGGGAUUCAUCAGUAACCUUCGGCAAGGCCAGGCAGCCGCCGGAGGAGAAAGGGGAUUCCGCCGAAGCGUCGGGACCGCCUGACUUCUGACGCUGGGCUGGGGGAGAACAUCCUUCAGACUGUCACAGUUUUGUGAAGCGCUAUCG
RNAcentral lists this non-coding RNA (157 nucleotides) under pig gut metagenome. RNAcentral's name for it is "Lysine riboswitch". It matches the Rfam family "Lysine riboswitch aptamer". From Rfam's summary of the family: Riboswitches are metabolite binding domains within certain messenger RNAs that serve as precision sensors for their corresponding targets. Allosteric rearrangement of mRNA structure is mediated by ligand binding, and this results in modulation of gene expression. The record is from RNAcentral.